Molecule: non-coding RNA, 99 nt
Organism: Chelonoidis abingdonii (Abingdon island giant tortoise)
Lineage: Eukaryota; Metazoa; Chordata; Testudines; Testudinidae
Source: RefSeq, a predicted model, not a curated record
CCUGGAGAGAGUCAAGCCCCGCCGGAGGCCAGACUGGGCGGAGCUACAGAGCUCUGAGCCCGCCCCACAAAGGGUCAAGCGCCGACCCGGAAUUAUAAA